UGAGGAAUAUUGGUCAAUGGGCGAGAGCCUGAACCAGCCAAGUAGCGUGCAGGAUGACGGCCCUAUGGGUUGUAAACUGCUUUUAUAUGGGAAUAAAGUGAGGGACGUGUCCCUUAUUGCAUGUACCAUAUGAAUAAGGACCGGCUAAUUCCGUGCCAGCAGCCGCGGUAAUACGGAAGGUCCAGGCGUUAUCCGGAUUUAUUGGGUUUAAAGGGAGCGUAGGCUGUUUGGUAAGCGUGUUGUGAAAUGUAGGAGCUCAACUUCUAGAUUGCAGCGCGAACUGUCAGACUUGAGUGCGCACAACGUAGGCGGAAUUCAUGGUGUAGCGGUGAAAUGCUUAGAUAUCAUGAAGAACUCCGAUUGCGAAGGCAGCUUACGGGAGCGCAACUGACGCUGAAGCUCGAAGGUGCGGGUAUCGAACAGG
Molecule: ribosomal RNA, 424 nt
Filed under: Verrucomicrobiota bacterium
Lineage: Bacteria; Pseudomonadati; Verrucomicrobiota
Description: Verrucomicrobia bacterium partial 16S ribosomal RNA
Rfam family: Bacterial small subunit ribosomal RNA
Source: RNAcentral